This 82-nucleotide transfer RNA is filed under the name compost metagenome. RNAcentral's name for it is "tRNA-Tyr". It matches the Rfam family "tRNA". From Rfam's summary of the family: Transfer RNA (tRNA) molecules are approximately 80 nucleotides in length. Their secondary structure includes four short double-helical elements and three loops (D, anti-codon, and T loops). The record is from RNAcentral.
GGGCCAGUGGGUGAGCGGCAAAGCCGGCUGACUGUAAAUCAGCUCCCUGGUGGUUCGCAGGUUCGAGUCCUGCCUGGCCCAC